This is a long non-coding RNA of Scylla paramamosain (green mud crab), 3001 nucleotides long. RefSeq lists it as uncharacterized. The record is from RefSeq and is a predicted model, not a curated record. Lineage: Eukaryota; Metazoa; Arthropoda; Malacostraca; Decapoda; Portunidae. The transcript is spliced from 2 exons.
AUCCAUAAAAAUACUUAAGUUUUCGUAAGAUAAAAAAGAAAAAGUUAUCAUUACAGAUGGGAAAAUACAAAGCUGAAUGUACGUGUACGCGUAUGUUGUCUUAGUAUUGUGUCUACUUGAUAUAAUUCAAACUAUAUGGACUUUUACUUACUUUUAUUUCUGCUUCUUUUUGUUACUCAGAAAGACGGACGCCAUAUCAUUAUUGUCCUUCACUUUAAUUAGUUAGCCAGCUAUUAUCACGUGUUAAGUAAUCGUCGGGUAAUCUUAACUGCCUUCCCAGUCUUGUUAAUAUUCCCAGUGAAUCACUAUCUACCCAUUACUUGGACAAGAUAAUCCAACUCGUUCAAAUCCACAUCCUCCAUUUGAUUUAACCCCUUCCGUCUACAGUACCUCUAUCUUUCACGGUGAUAAUCUUCGCUUCCGUUUGCCCCUUGGCUUACAGCGUCAUGACCUCUAACGUCCAACAUCUUGAUUCCUGCUAUCACUCGGUAAGACCUCUCGUUAGGCAGCUAUCACUUACCACACUGCAGUACUUUUUGCCUCUACUCGCUAACCAAGCAUCACAUAUCAUUCCAUUUACUCUCCGGUCCUUCCUGCCUCUAACUCUGUUUAGCUGAGCGUCACCAAUUACACUUCACUUAUACUUUAGUUUUUCCUGCUUCUACUUCUUGUCUGUCAAUUAUCAACAAUCACGCCACUCAUACUUCAGUCCUUCCUGCCUCUAUCUCUGGACAGCCAAGCAUUACCCAUUAUCACACUCCACCCACAUUCCACUCACUUCCCGCCUGUACCUCUCAAUAGCCAAGCAUCACUCAUCAUCACACCCCACUCACACUCUGCACUUCAGUCAUACAUCAGAUCUUGCUUCUCGUUAGCCAAGCAUCAGUCAUCAUACUCCACCAACGCUUCCCGCCUCACUCCCCGCCACAAUCAGUCAGCAGAGAGUCGAAUUUGUUCAACAUCUUCGUGAUCUUUAGCACUUUAGCAGCUAUGAUCUAUCUCUUAGUACAACAAAAUGGCCAGGUGUAAUAUAUCUUUAUUUAUUCUGUGUCAUAGGCAAGAAUUGCUUAAACAAAGAUUCUUCCUUGUGCUGCUAUUGUCAGGGGUUGCUACAGCAGAUCGACCUAAAUUAAAACCCCUUCACUGUUAUUUAGCUCGUCUUUCAAUAAUCACUAACCACUCUGAGACCUCUUGUUCUACGGCGCCCUCCAAACAUUGUACUGGCUAGAAAUUGCUAAAUGUAUUUUAAUUUUUUUUUUAUCCCCCUUUUAUUCUUGUAGAUAUUUAUAAAGAUUCAUAUAUUACUUUUAGUGCUGUGAAGUGCUGUAUACCGCAGUGAAAGGGCCUUCCUCCGUCACACACAUUACACGCAUGUCGUCUUUCACUGCACUCCUAAACUUCCUCUUAGGUCUCCCUUUAUUUCUCCUGCCUGGUAGAUUUAUAUUUAGUAGCAUCAUCCUCCCCAUAAACUUCUCGUCUCUCUUCUAGACAUGCCCACACAGCCUCAUUCCCUCCUCUCUGGUCCCCAUCCCUCCUCAGCCCCUUCUCUCUGGUCCCCACACCGCCUCAGUCCCUCCUCUUUGGCUCCCACACCGCCUCAAUCUCUCCUCUCUGGUCCCCACACCGUCUCAGUCCCUCCUCUCUCUCCAGGUUCCCACGCCGCCUCAGUCCCUCCUUUCUGGUCCCUAUACCGCCUCAGUCCCUCCUCGCUCGCCAGAUCCCUAUACCGCCUCAGUCCCUUUUCUCUGGUCCUCAUUCCGUCUCAGUCCCUCCUUUCUAGCCUGUUUCCCACACCGCCUUAGUCCCUUCUCUCUGGUCCUCACACGACGAAGUAACAUGUGUUAUGUCAUUAGUAGUCAAAGGUUUAUCUCAGAUUCCGACGGUCUUCCUCAUCUAUAUUUAGCCAGUGCAAAUGUUAACCUAGUUUCCGAGUCUUCGUCGCUUCAUGCUAGUAGCGGUUAAAUACUUGCCCUAUCACUAAGCGAGGAUCGAAUAUAUGUAACAUGAGGUUAGCAACUCCCUCAUAAGUGCUCCGUGUUGCAAGUUAACCUGGGAACGUAUUCUCAAAUAUUUCAGCGUCUUGAUUAAUCACAAGUACUUUACAAGAUCUAUGGAAAGUUACUGAUGUUUUCAAGGGUGUUUUCCUGUGUAGUGGUAGUAUAACAAGGCCUUUGCUUCGUCAUUGGGAAGAAUACCUUUGAAGAACCAAUUAAUAUCUACGAGGCCUUUGAAAAUAUAUCUAUGAGAGAGAGCAAAGCAUUUUAGAAUACGGCUUUGAAGUUUGUGGCUGUAUGUCCACCCCAUCAAAAAAUAACAUCAAGUAGAACUACCAUGAAUAAUCAUCAGAACCACGAGUAAUUACAGCGAAACGAACAUUACGUCCGAAACCAUUCCUACAUCUUACGUAUAUCACUUCUGUAAUAUUCAAGUAACAAUAUAUAUAUAUAUAUUUUUUUUACAUAACGAAGAAAGACUUAAACAAUAUAUAUAUGCAUCACUUCAAACUUUUUAUCAUUGGUUCAAUAAAAAGCGAACCAGCUCUAGUGGAAUUCGAGACAAAGGAUUCAAACAAGGAAGCGGAAGGCAGUGCGCAGUGGAAGCCAGGCAGCGGUGGUGGACAGACGUGGUGAGAGAAAGCUGCAGAGGAUGGAGGAGAGUGAUAGAAGAACACGUGCUAGGACCGCUUGGGGGGACUCAGCCAGUCAGCCAGCCACGCUUCCACGAUGAAUUGUGCAAGCCAGAAAAAAACUUUGCCUCCGGGACAAGUCGCCUCCACGCAGUACACAACAUAAGUAAUUACGACGAGCUGAUACCCUCGUACAGCUCGUACCCUCGUGGAGCCCCCUAGCUACUGUCUGCAACAUCUAGUUAACGUGUGAGAGACAGAAAGAGUCUCUGACAGAGAGAGACUGACAGACUGAGAGAGAGACUGACAGACCGUGUUUGUGUAUAGAAUGCCUUCUUCCACUGUGUAUCCUGAAUAAAUUAUAAUCUUAUAAAA